GGUUCAGGACGAACGCUGGCGGCGUGCUUCAUACAUGCAAGUCGAACGAGAAUCUGACUUCGGUCAGAGGAAAGUGGCGGACGGGUGAGUAAAAUGUAGAGAAUCUGCCCUUAAGCGGGGGACAACAGUUGGAAACGACUGCUAAUACCCCAUAUGCGCGUAGCUGAGAUGCUAUUCGUGAAAACUCCGGUGCUUAAGGAUGAGUCUGCAUCUGAUUAGCUAGUAGGCGGUGUAAUGGACCACCUAGGCGACGAUCAGUAGCUGGUUUGAGAGGAUGAUCAGCCACAAUGGGACUGAGACACGGCCCAUACUCCUACGGGAGGCAGCAGUAGGGAAUUUUGCGCAAUGGGGGAAACCCUGACGCAAGCAACGCCGCGUGAUUGAAGAAGCCCUUCGGGGUGUAAAGAUCUGUCAGUGGGGACGAAACUUGACGGUACCCACAGAGGAAGCAUCGGCUAACUCCGUGCCAGCAGCAGC
RNAcentral lists this ribosomal RNA (477 nucleotides) under uncultured bacterium. Its description in RNAcentral is "bacterial SSU rRNA". It matches the Rfam family "Bacterial small subunit ribosomal RNA", at positions 21 to 518 of the family's 1533-position model. The record is from RNAcentral.